GGGGAAUAUUGCACAAUGGGCGAAAGCCUGAUGCAGCAACGCCGCGUGAGUGAUGAAGGUCUUCGGAUUGUAAAGCUCUGUCUUUUGGGACGAUAAUGACGGUACCAAAGGAGGAAGCCACGGCUAACUACGUGCCAGCAGCCGCGGUAAUACGUAGGUGGCGAGCGUUGUCCGGAUUUACUGGGCGUAAAGGGUGCGUAGGCGGAUGUUUAAGUGAGAUGUGAAAUACCCGGGCUUAACUUGGGUGCUGCAUUUCAAACUGGAUAUCUAGAGUGCAGGAGAGGAGAAUGGAAUUCCUAGUGUAGCGGUGAAAUGCGUAGAGAUUAGGAAGAACACCAGUGGCGAAGGCGAUUCUCUGGACUGUAACUGACGCUGAGGCACGAAAGCGUGGGUAGCAAACAGGAUUAGAUACCCUGGU
Molecule: ribosomal RNA, 418 nt
Filed under: uncultured bacterium
Lineage: Bacteria
Description: partial 16S ribosomal RNA
Rfam family: Bacterial small subunit ribosomal RNA
Source: RNAcentral